RNAcentral lists this non-coding RNA (30 nucleotides) under Homo sapiens (human). Lineage: Eukaryota; Metazoa; Chordata; Mammalia; Primates; Hominidae. The record is from RNAcentral.
AGGAUGCGUUGCUGUUCCAAGCCCAGGCGG